CCAUAUCACCCUGCAGCCCAAGACUGGUUACCCACUGAAGCUAAACAGGGUUGAGCCUGGGCAAUACCUGGAUGGGAGACCUCCUGGAAAUCUCUGCGGAUAAUAUGU
Molecule: ribosomal RNA, 108 nt
Filed under: Sinocyclocheilus grahami
Lineage: Eukaryota; Metazoa; Chordata; Actinopteri; Cypriniformes; Cyprinidae
Source: RNAcentral